Molecule: small nucleolar RNA, 73 nt
Organism: Cornus florida
Lineage: Eukaryota; Viridiplantae; Streptophyta; Magnoliopsida; Cornales; Cornaceae
Product: small nucleolar RNA Z105
Exons: 1
Source: RefSeq, a predicted model, not a curated record
GCAUAAUGAUGAUAAACAAAACAUAUACCGAUUGAUUUCAUGAAAGGAAUUCAUAACCUCCUACUCAUACUGA